AACCCGGAAGACUUUUUAUUUUAUUCAAUCACCUAAUUUCUCCACCUAAUUUAUCCACCUACUCUUCCACCACUAAUUUUUUCUUUUCCCUACCACUAACUUAUUUUUAUCUAAUAAACAUGAGUGGAAGUGUGAUGAGUGAAGAUAGGAUUAGUGUGCUAAGGUGGUAGGGAACCAAGCUUUAAUCAUGAAUAAUGCUUUGUCCUUAAUCAUUCUUCCAUUGCAAGACAAAGCUCAUCACUUCACUCCCUCACACUUCAAUUCUCGGCCUCCCCUCUCUCUCUCUAUACUCUCUUUUCCUCUAUUAAUGUCCAUUGAAGAAAGCUUAGAGAAGCUUCAUCAAACACUACUAUGAGAUAAUCCACCAUCCAAUCCAAUCAAAUACUAUCAUAUCUCAUCAAAUUCAAGAAGCUAGAGCUAAGAUCAAAGUUGGAGCAAAGUCUUGAUCACCUUUUAAAUCCUUGAGCUUUGUGACCAGGGGGAUUAGCGCUGCUUUACCAAGACAGGUUUAUAUGUGAUUAUGAUCUUCAGGCUUUGCCUAACCAGGUUGGCUGGCCGGUGCUGACGGGACGGAGCUGAGGCUAGAGUUAAAUUCCUAUGUUAGACUUCCGCUGUAGCAAUUACUCUUAUACAUCUUUUGUUUUCUCAACUUAAGAUGACUUCAUGUCGAGCUUAAAUUUGAAAUUCUAGUUUUAUGCUAAUGAAUGUUGGUUGUCAGAAACAUGAAACAAAACUUGUGAUCCAAAGGGGCAUAGCCCGACUUUCUAUCCUAUUUCGGGUUUUUACAAGGUUGUUCCUUGUUUAUUUCUA
This is a long non-coding RNA of Salvia miltiorrhiza (redroot sage), 810 nucleotides long. RefSeq lists it as uncharacterized. The record is from RefSeq and is a predicted model, not a curated record. NCBI's taxonomy places the organism in Eukaryota, Viridiplantae, Streptophyta, Magnoliopsida, Lamiales, Lamiaceae. The transcript has 3 exons.